AUUGGUGCUUGCAUCAUGAUUUACAUUUGAGUGAGUGGCGAACUGGUGAGUAACACGUGGGAAACCUGCCCAGAAGCGGGGGAUAACACCUGGAAACAGAUGCUAAUACCGCAUAACAACUUGGACCGCAUGGUCCGAGCUUGAAAGAUGGCUUCGGCUAUCACUUUUGGAUGGUCCCGCGGCGUAUUAGCUAGAUGGUGGGGUAACGGCUCACCAUGGCAAUGAUACGUAGCCGACCUGAGAGGGUAAUCGGCCACAUUGGGACUGAGACACGGCCCAAACUCCUACGGGAGGCAGCAGUAGGGAAUCUUCCACAAUGGACGAAAGUCUGAUGGAGCAACGCCGCGUGAGUGAAGAAGGGUUUCGGCUCGUAAAACUCUGUUGUUAAAGAAGAACAUAUCUGAGAGUAACUGUUCAGGUAUUGACGGUAUUUAACCAGAAAGCCACGGCUAACUACGUGCCAGCAGCCGCGGUAAUACGUAGGUGGCAAGCGUUGUCCGGAUUUAUUGGGCGUAAAGCGAGCGCAGGCGGUUUUUUAAGUCUGAUGUGAAAGCCUUCGGCUCAACCGAAGAAGUGCAUCGGAAACUGGGAAACUUGAGUGCAGAAGAGGACAGUGGAACUCCAUGUGUAGCGGUGAAAUGCGUAGAUAUAUGGAAGAACACCAGUGGCGAAGGCGGCUGUCUGGUCUGUAACUGACGCUGAGGCUCGAAAGUAUGGGUAGCAAACAGGAUUAGAUACCCUGGUAGUCCAUACCGUAAACGAUGAAUGCUAAGUGUUGGAGGGUUUCCGCCCUUCAGUGCUGCAGCUAACGCAUUAAGCAUUCCGCCUGGGGAGUACGGCCGCAAGGCUGAAACUCAAAGGAAUUGACGGGGGCCCGCACAAGCGGUGGAGCAUGUGGUUUAAUUCGAAGCUACGCGAAGAACCUUACCAGGUCUUGACAUACUAUGCAAAUCUAAGAGAUUAGACGUUCCCUUCGGGGACAUGGAUACAGGUGGUGCAUGGUUGUCGUCAGCUCGUGUCGUGAGAUGUUGGGUUAAGUCCCGCAACGAGCGCAACCCUUAUUAUCAGUUGCCAGCAUUAAGUUGGGCACUCUGGUGAGACUGCCGGUGACAAACCGGAGGAAGGUGGGGAUGACGUCAAAUCAUCAUGCCCCUUAUGACCUGGGCUACACACGUGCUACAAUGGAUGGUACAACGAGUUGCGAACUCGCGAGAGUAAGCUAAUCUCUUAAAGCCAUUCUCAGUUCGGAUUGUAGGCUGCAACUCGCCUACAUGAAGUCGGAAUCGCUAGUAAUCGCGGAUCAGCAUGCCGCGGUGAAUACGUUCCCGGGCCUUGUACACACCGCCCGUCACACCAUGA
RNAcentral lists this ribosomal RNA (1359 nucleotides) under Lactiplantibacillus plantarum. RNAcentral's name for it is "bacterial SSU rRNA". It matches the Rfam family "Bacterial small subunit ribosomal RNA", at positions 69 to 1407 of the family's 1533-position model. The record is from RNAcentral. Lineage: Bacteria; Bacillati; Bacillota; Bacilli; Lactobacillales; Lactobacillaceae.